RNAcentral lists this transfer RNA (65 nucleotides) under Capra hircus (goat). It matches the Rfam family "tRNA". Rfam says of the family: Transfer RNA (tRNA) molecules are approximately 80 nucleotides in length. RNAcentral also lists the same sequence under 1 other name. Lineage: Eukaryota; Metazoa; Chordata; Mammalia; Artiodactyla; Bovidae. The record is from Rfam by way of RNAcentral.
CCUGAUGGCUCAGUAAAGCAUCUGCCUACAAUGCAGGAGACCCGGGUUAAAUCCCUGGAUUAGGA